RNAcentral lists this ribosomal RNA (1796 nucleotides) under Escherichia coli. Its description in RNAcentral is "bacterial LSU rRNA". It matches the Rfam family "Bacterial large subunit ribosomal RNA", at positions 1150 to 2925 of the family's 2925-position model. Lineage: Bacteria; Pseudomonadati; Pseudomonadota; Gammaproteobacteria; Enterobacterales; Enterobacteriaceae. The record is from RNAcentral.
CGAGUCGGCCUGCGCGGAAGAUGUAACGGGGCUAAACCAUGCACCGAAGCUGCGGCAGCGACGCUUAUGCGUUGUUGGGUAGGGGAGCGUUCUGUAAGCCUGCGAAGGUGUGCUGUGAGGUAUGCUGGAGGUAUCAGAAGUGCGAAUGCUGACAUAAGUAACGAUAAAGCGGGUGAAAAGCCCGCUCGCCGGAAGACCAAGGGUUCCUGUCCAACGUUAAUCGGGGCAGGGUGAGUCGACCCCUAAGGCGAGGCCGAAAGGCGUAGUCGAUGGGAAACAGGUUAAUAUUCCUGUACUUGGUGUUACUGCGAAGGGGGGACGGAGAAGGCUAUGUUGGCCGGGCGACGGUUGUCCCGGUUUAAGCGUGUAGGCUGGUUUUCCAGGCAAAUCCGGAAAAUCAAGGCUGAGGCGUGAUGACGAGGCACUACGGUGCUGAAGCAACAAAUGCCCUGCUUCCAGGAAAAGCCUCUAAGCAUCAGGUAACAUCAAAUCGUACCCCAAACCGACACAGGUGGUCAGGUAGAGAAUACCAAGGCGCUUGAGAGAACUCGGGUGAAGGAACUAGGCAAAAUGGUGCCGUAACUUCGGGAGAAGGCACGCUGAUAUGUAGGUGAAGUCCCUCGCGGAUGGAGCUGAAAUCAGUCGAAGAUACCAGCUGGCUGCAACUGUUUAUUAAAAACACAGCACUGUGCAAACACGAAAGUGGACGUAUACGGUGUGACGCCUGCCCGGUGCCGGAAGGUUAAUUGAUGGGGUUAGCGCAAGCGAAGCUCUUGAUCGAAGCCCCGGUAAACGGCGGCCGUAACUAUAACGGUCCUAAGGUAGCGAAAUUCCUUGUCGGGUAAGUUCCGACCUGCACGAAUGGCGUAAUGAUGGCCAGGCUGUCUCCACCCGAGACUCAGUGAAAUUGAACUCGCUGUGAAGAUGCAGUGUACCCGCGGCAAGACGGAAAGACCCCGUGAACCUUUACUAUAGCUUGACACUGAACAUUGAGCCUUGAUGUGUAGGAUAGGUGGGAGGCUUUGAAGUGUGGACGCCAGUCUGCAUGGAGCCGACCUUGAAAUACCACCCUUUAAUGUUUGAUGUUCUAACGUUGACCCGUAAUCCGGGUUGCGGACAGUGUCUGGUGGGUAGUUUGACUGGGGCGGUCUCCUCCUAAAGAGUAACGGAGGAGCACGAAGGUUGGCUAAUCCUGGUCGGACAUCAGGAGGUUAGUGCAAUGGCAUAAGCCAGCUUGACUGCGAGCGUGACGGCGCGAGCAGGUGCGAAAGCAGGUCAUAGUGAUCCGGUGGUUCUGAAUGGAAGGGCCAUCGCUCAACGGAUAAAAGGUACUCCGGGGAUAACAGGCUGAUACCGCCCAAGAGUUCAUAUCGACGGCGGUGUUUGGCACCUCGAUGUCGGCUCAUCACAUCCUGGGGCUGAAGUAGGUCCCAAGGGUAUGGCUGUUCGCCAUUUAAAGUGGUACGCGAGCUGGGUUUAGAACGUCGUGAGACAGUUCGGUCCCUAUCUGCCGUGGGCGCUGGAGAACUGAGGGGGGCUGCUCCUAGUACGAGAGGACCGGAGUGGACGCAUCACUGGUGUUCGGGUUGUCAUGCCAAUGGCACUGCCCGGUAGCUAAAUGCGGAAGAGAUAAGUGCUGAAAGCAUCUAAGCACGAAACUUGCCCCGAGAUGAGUUCUCCCUGACUCCUUGAGAGUCCUGAAGGAACGUUGAAGACGACGACGUUGAUAGGCCGGGUGUGUAAGCGCAGCGAUGCGUUGAGCUAACCGGUACUAAUGAACCGUGAGGCUUAACCUU